Long non-coding RNA from Epinephelus lanceolatus (giant grouper), 273 nucleotides. RefSeq lists it as uncharacterized. Lineage: Eukaryota; Metazoa; Chordata; Actinopteri; Perciformes; Serranidae. The record is from RefSeq and is a predicted model, not a curated record.
ACUCGUGUCGACAUCUGGCAAGAAGAGGAACGUGACACAGAUCAACUGAAGGAACAAGUGGAGCUAUGAGAUUUUGGGACUUUGGGUGAUCUGGCCUCUUAAAAUGACAUGAAUUCCUUCAACAUUCAACACAACACAGCUGAUGUCGUCCACUGAGGCUGCACAUCUACAGGAGCCUUAACAUGCAACAAAAGUCAGCAUUCAUGCUGGAAAGUGGAGAACUGCAUCAUGUUGAUAAACAGGAUGUGGACGAACCUGAAGACUGUGCACUUG